RNAcentral lists this ribosomal RNA (469 nucleotides) under uncultured bacterium. RNAcentral describes it as "partial 16S ribosomal RNA". It matches the Rfam family "Bacterial small subunit ribosomal RNA", at positions 28 to 507 of the family's 1533-position model. The record is from RNAcentral.
GACGAACGCUGGCGGCGUGCUUAACACAUGCAAGUCGAACGGAAAGGCCCUGCUUGUGGGCUGCUCGAGUGGCGAACGGGUGGGUAACUCGUGGGUGAUCUGCCUCUUACUUUGGGAUAAGCCUGGGAAACUGGGUCUAGUACUGGACAGGUCCAUGCUGUAGGUGGUGUGGUGGACAGAUUAGUUUCGGUAUGGGAUGAGCUCGCGGCGUAUCAGCUUGUUGGUGGGGUAUUGGCCUACCAAGGCGGCGACGGGUAGCCGGCCCGAGAGGGUGGACGGCCAGAUCAGAACUGUGAGAGAGGCCACAGUCCUGCGGGAGGCAGCAGGGGGGAAAAUUGCACAAUGGGAGCAAGCGUGAUGGAGCGACGCCGCGUGGGGGUAGAGGGCCGUCGGGUGGGAAGCACCUGUCAGCGAUGACAAAGCCCAUGUGGUGACGGUAGUGGAAGAAGAAGAACCGGCUAACUACGUG